UCUACCCUUGUGUGUUCCCCCUACAACUUUUUCUUUCCAAAUCUGAGUGGACAGUUCAGGUGUCAAUUGAACCGAACUAUCUAGAUUCUCAGCAACGUACUUAUUAAAGUCAUUCUGCAUAUUAAAUAUAAAUAUUGACAUCAAUAUAUAUACAUAUCAUAAAUAUAUUCAGUAUUGAUAUAUAUUUUUCAUAUUAAAUAACUAACAAAAGUUCGUUCGGCCCUUUCCUCCACCCACACAUCCGGAUCCGNN
Molecule: long non-coding RNA, 252 nt
Filed under: Solanum tuberosum (potato)
Lineage: Eukaryota; Viridiplantae; Streptophyta; Magnoliopsida; Solanales; Solanaceae
Description: long non-coding RNA (STUB_LNC007122)
Source: RNAcentral